Molecule: ribosomal RNA, 116 nt
Filed under: uncultured bacterium
Lineage: Bacteria
Description: partial 16S ribosomal RNA
Rfam family: Bacterial small subunit ribosomal RNA
Source: RNAcentral
CGCGGUGAAUACGUUCCCGGACCUUGUACACACCGCCCGUCAAACAAUGGAAGCUGGGGGUGCCUGAAGUCGGUAACCGUAAGGAGCUGCCUAGGGUAAAACUAGUAACUGGUGUU